UUUAACUGAGCGUUCAGUUACUUGACGUAGACCCGAAACCGGGCGACCUACCCAUGAGCAGGAUGAAGCGAAAGUAAAAUUUCGUGGAGGUCCGAACCCACGAGCGUUGAAAAGCUCGGGGAUGACUUGUGGGUAGCGGUGAAAUUCCAAUCGAGCCCGGAGAUAGCUGGUUCUCCCCGAAAUAGCUUUAGGGCUAGCCUCAAGGUGAGAGAUACGGAGGUAGAGCACUGAAUGUCCUAGGGGGUAUUGCACCUACCGAAGACUAUCAAACUCCGAAUGCCGUCAUCUUAUACUUGGGAGUCAGACUGUGGGUGAUAAGAUUCAUAGUCGAAAGGGCAACAGCCCAGAUCGUCAGCUAAGGUCCCUAAAUGUAAGUUAAGUGGUAAAGGAUGUGGGAUUGCACAGACAACCAGGAUGUUGGCUUAGAAGCAGCCACUCAUUCAAAGAGUGCGUAAUAGCUCACUGGUCGAGUGAUCCUGCGCCGAAGAUUUCCGGGGCUAAAACUUACUACCGAAGCUACGGCAUCAGUAAUGAUGGGUAGGGGAGCUUCCCAUACGGGUUGAAGCAUGACCGUAAGGACAUGUGGACAGUAUGGGAGUGAGAAUGUUGGCAUGAGUAGCGAGAUGUGGGUGAGAAUCCCACAGGCCGUAAACCCAAGGUUUCCAGGGGAAGGUUCGUCCGCCCUGGGUUAGUCGGGACCUAAGCUGAGGCCGAAAGGCGUAGGUGAUGGACAACAGGUUGAUAUUCCUGUACUACCGAUAACCGUUUGAGAGAAGGGAUGACACAGUAGG
RNAcentral lists this ribosomal RNA (791 nucleotides) under Clostridioides difficile. Its description in RNAcentral is "partial 23S ribosomal RNA". It matches the Rfam family "Bacterial large subunit ribosomal RNA", at positions 683 to 1481 of the family's 2925-position model. The record is from RNAcentral. Lineage: Bacteria; Bacillati; Bacillota; Clostridia; Peptostreptococcales; Peptostreptococcaceae.